GGCAGAGUGGUAGAAUGGCUAUACAGCGGAUUGCAAAUCCGUGGAUCUCGGUUCGAUUCCGGGCUCUGCCUCCA
Molecule: transfer RNA, 74 nt
Filed under: Thiomicrospira sp.
Lineage: Bacteria; Pseudomonadati; Pseudomonadota; Gammaproteobacteria; Thiotrichales; Piscirickettsiaceae
Also listed under: 1 other name
Description: tRNA-Cys
Rfam family: tRNA
About the family: Transfer RNA (tRNA) molecules are approximately 80 nucleotides in length. Their secondary structure includes four short double-helical elements and three loops (D, anti-codon, and T loops).
Source: RNAcentral